Molecule: ribosomal RNA, 331 nt
Filed under: Adoncholaimus thalassophygas
Lineage: Eukaryota; Metazoa; Nematoda; Enoplea; Enoplida; Enoplidae
Description: partial large subunit ribosomal RNA
Source: RNAcentral
AAAAAGGUAGCUUAAUAAUUUGAAUCUUAAUUGGAUUCUAGAAAUGAAUGAAAAAUAUGUUUAAUUAUAUUUUUAAUAAAAUUUACAAAAAUAAAUAAGCAAAUAAAAAAUUUUGCAAAAAUAAAAAAAAAGAAAAGACCCUGGAAAUUUGAAAUUUAAUUGGGACAAUUACGUUAUAUAUUUUAUUUCUUAAAAUAAAUAUUAAAAAAUUACUCCAGGGAUAACAGGGUUCUUAAAUUUUAAAAUUUAAAUGCCACAUCGAUGUUGUAUCAUAAUUUUUUUAAUUAGAAAUUAAUUAUUAAAAUAAAGAUUGUUCAUCUUUAUAAUUAUA